RNAcentral lists this ribosomal RNA (303 nucleotides) under Clostridioides difficile. RNAcentral describes it as "partial 23S ribosomal RNA". It matches the Rfam family "Bacterial large subunit ribosomal RNA", at positions 361 to 666 of the family's 2925-position model. The record is from RNAcentral. Lineage: Bacteria; Bacillati; Bacillota; Clostridia; Peptostreptococcales; Peptostreptococcaceae.
AAGGUAAUAGUCCUGUAUGUUAAACGAGAAGACUUUAGAUAUGAUCCAGAGUACCACGGGACACGUGAAACCCUGUGGGAAGCAGGAGGGACCACCCUCCAAGGCUAAAUACUACCUAGUGACCGAUAGCGUAUAGUACCGUGAGGGCAAGGUGAAAAGAACCCCGGGAGGGGAGUGAAAUAGAACCUGAAACCCUGCACUUACAAGCUGUGGAAGCACAUUUCUUGUGUGACCGCGUACUUUUUGUAGAACGGGCCAACGAGUUACGUUAAGUAGCAAGGUUAAGCACUUAAGGUGUGGAGC